RNAcentral lists this unclassified non-coding RNA (319 nucleotides) under Hevea brasiliensis (rubber tree). Lineage: Eukaryota; Viridiplantae; Streptophyta; Magnoliopsida; Malpighiales; Euphorbiaceae. The record is from RNAcentral.
GUGACAAUACCAUUGGCAUCAAUAUCAAAAGUCACCUCAAUCUGAGGCAUACCCCUUGGUGCUGGUGGAAUACCCAUAAGUUCAAACUCUCCCAAUAGCUUGUUGUCAGAUGCCAUUUCACGCUCACCUUGGAGUACCUUGAUACCAACCUGGGUCUGGUUAUCAGCGGCUGUAGAGAAGACCUGACUCUUCUUAGUAGGAAUUGUUGUGUUCCUGUUGAUCAACCUUGUGAAUAUCCCACCAAGAGUCUCAAUACCAAGCGAUAGAGGAGUAACAUCCAGGAGCAGCAACUCUUUGACAUCUCCACGAAGAAUACCAC